Molecule: long non-coding RNA, 393 nt
Organism: Hirundo rustica (Barn swallow)
Lineage: Eukaryota; Metazoa; Chordata; Aves; Passeriformes; Hirundinidae
Exons: 3
Source: RefSeq, a predicted model, not a curated record
GCUCCAUUUCACUUAUGUAUCAGGCUUGGGAACAGAAGGAGGAACAGAAAAGCAGAAUACUGAACAAAUGUACAUUUAAUUAAGGUCAUCCAGUGAUGUACCAUGGAUCUGUCUGCCUAUCCAUCUGCUGUUCCCAGCUACAAUACCUGUUAGCUGGUGGAUGAUUUCCAUGGAAUCUGGCAGCUGCCUAACGUCACAAAUUAGCAAGAUUAAGGGAAGUGAAAAACUACCAUUUUUUUCCUGUCUGUGUCAACAGUACAGGUUAUUGCCUGGGAAAACUUUUUCUGGAGGAAGAUAGCACCUUGCUGCUUCACCUAAAGCUAAAUUGCUGCAAAUACCGGGGUGACCCACUGAAAGCAUCCAGUGAAGAAUCUGUGUACGUGUGCCCUUACA